RNAcentral lists this long non-coding RNA (570 nucleotides) under Homo sapiens (human). RNAcentral describes it as "non-protein coding lnc-ANO10-3:1". Lineage: Eukaryota; Metazoa; Chordata; Mammalia; Primates; Hominidae. The record is from RNAcentral.
UGUAGCUGAAGGCUGGGCCAUUUUUGAGAACUGCUGCUGGUGGUGCCCACCUACAGGGACACUAGGGCUGCUUUCACAUGCAGGGUGUACCCAUGGUGCCAAGCCAAGGGCCAGCAGCCACUCCUGGUGCCCUGGCCUGGGCUUGGGCUUGCAGAGAAAAGGGCCCUCCUUGCCCAGUGGUGCUGCCCACCUCCCUAGCUGUGUCCAUGGACUGCCCUGCAUUCACAGGCACAAGAAUGCCAUGUAGGCCAGUGCUGCCCACGUAUACAGCCCUUCCCACCAGCGCUGGCCGUCCUGCUGUAGCCAAGACACUACAGACCCGUGGGCACCUCCACUCGGACAGCAGCAGAUGCCCUGGCCCACCCGGAGAAGAAACCUUGGAGUCCUUGUAAAAGGAUAAAGGAAUCAAGAAGCAAAAUGAAUGCUGUCUCAGCAAAGUCCACUGCUACCUCCUGUGGCUCACACAGGGACCUCCAGAUGAUUGGAGCCCUGCUCACACUCUUCAGUUCUCCACUCUCUGCAUUCUUCCUCCCUGCUUCGCCCUUCUUCGAAUUCCCUGACCCUGAUAGC